UAGGGAAUAUUGCGCAAUGGGCGAAAGCCUGACGCAGCGACACCGUGUGUAGGAUGAAGAUCUUAGGAUUGUAAACUACUGUCAGUUGAAGAAGAAGGUAUGAAAGUUAAGAGCUUGAUUAUUGACGGUAUUCAACGAGGAAGUCUCGGCUAACUCCGUGCCAGCAGCCGCGGUAAGACGGGGGAGGCAAGCAUUGUCCGGAAUUAUUGGGCGUAAAGAACACGUAGGCGGUUUUUAAAGUCAAUUGUGAAAACCUUGGGCUUAACCCGAGGAUUGCAGUUGAUACUGGAAAACUAGAGUACAGUAGAGGAAAGUGGAAUUCCUGGUGUAGCGGUGAAAUGCGCAGAUAUCAGGAAGAACACCAGUGGCGAAAGCGGCUUUCUGGACUGUUACUGACGCUGAGGUGUGAAAGCUAGGGGAGCGAACA
This 427-nucleotide ribosomal RNA is filed under the name uncultured prokaryote. RNAcentral describes it as "bacterial SSU rRNA". It matches the Rfam family "Bacterial small subunit ribosomal RNA", at positions 355 to 774 of the family's 1533-position model. The record is from RNAcentral.